UACGUAGGGUGCAAGCGUUGUCCGGAAUUAUUGGGCGUAAAGAGCGCGUAGGCGGUCCGGUAAGUCGGUUGUGAAAGUCGGGGGCUCAACCCUCGGAUGCCGAUCGAUACUGUCGGGCUAGAGUCCGGAAGAGGCGAGUGGAAUUCCUGGUGUAGCGGUGAAAUGCGCAGAUAUCGAGAGGAACACCUGCGGCGAAGGCGGGUUGCUGGGCUGACACUGACGCUGAGGCGCGAAAGCUAGGGGAGCGAACGGG
This 253-nucleotide ribosomal RNA is filed under the name uncultured bacterium. RNAcentral describes it as "partial 16S ribosomal RNA". It matches the Rfam family "Bacterial small subunit ribosomal RNA", at positions 524 to 776 of the family's 1533-position model. The record is from RNAcentral.